UUGAUCUCAAAUCAGGUAGGACUACCCGCUGAACUUAAGCAUAUCAAUAAGCGGAGGAAAAGAAACUAACAAGGAUUCCCCUAGUAACUGCGAGUGAAGCGGGAUGAGCUCAAAUUUAAAAUCUGGCGUGCCUCUGGUCGUCCGAGUUGUAGUCUGGAGAAGCGUUUUCCGUGUUGGACCGUGUAUAAGUCUCUUGGAACAGGGCGUCAUAGAGGGUGAGAAUCCCGUCUUUGACACGGACUACCAAUGCUUUGUGAUGCGCUCUCAAAGAGUCGAGUUGUUUGGGAAUGCAGCUCAAAAUGGGUGGUAAA
Molecule: ribosomal RNA, 311 nt
Filed under: uncultured fungus
Lineage: Eukaryota; Fungi
Description: eukaryotic LSU rRNA
Rfam family: Eukaryotic large subunit ribosomal RNA
Source: RNAcentral